RNAcentral lists this ribosomal RNA (305 nucleotides) under uncultured bacterium. RNAcentral's name for it is "bacterial SSU rRNA". It matches the Rfam family "Bacterial small subunit ribosomal RNA", at positions 337 to 659 of the family's 1533-position model. The record is from RNAcentral.
UCCUACGGGGGGCAGCAGUAGGGAAUAUUGCUCAACGGGGGAAACCCUGAAGCAGCAACGCCGCGUGGAGGAUGAAGGUUUUCGGAUUGUAAACUCCUUUUGUUAGAGAAGAUAAUGACGGUAUCUAACGAAUAAGCACCGGCUAACUCCGUGCCAGCAGCCGCGGUAAUACGGAGGGUGCAAGCGUUACUCGGAAUCACUGGGCGUAAAGAGCGCGUAGGCGGGAUAGCAAGUCAGAUGUGAAAUCCUAUGGCUUAACCAUAGAACUGCAUUUGAAACUGUUAUUCUAGAGUAUGGGAGAGGUA